This 440-nucleotide ribosomal RNA is filed under the name uncultured bacterium. RNAcentral describes it as "partial 16S ribosomal RNA". It matches the Rfam family "Bacterial small subunit ribosomal RNA", at positions 338 to 795 of the family's 1533-position model. The record is from RNAcentral.
CCUACGGGAGGCAGCAGUGGGGGAUAUUGCACAAUGGGGGAAACCCUGAUGCAGCGACGCCGCGUGUGGGAAGACGGUCCUCUGGAUUGUAAACUACUGUCCCCAGGGACGAAGAUGACGGUACCUGGUGAGGAAGCUCCGGCUAACUACGUGCCAGCAGCCGCGGUAAUACGUAGGGAGCGAGCGUUGUCCGGAAUUACUGGGUGUAAAGGGAGCGUAGGCGGGACUGCAAGUUGGGGGUCAAAUCUACCGGCUCAACCGGUAGGCGCACUCAAAACUGCAGUUCUUGAGUGAAGUAGAGGCAGGCGGAAUUCCUAGUGUAGCGGUGAAAUGCGUAGAUAUUAGGAGGAACACCAGUGGCGAAGGCGGCCCGCUGGGCUUUUACUGACGCUGAGGCUCGAAAGUGUGGGGAGCAAACAGGAUUAGAUACCCGAGUAGUC